AAAUAAAAAUAAAUAAAUAAAAUGAACAUAAUGGGAAAAAAAAAAUCUCAAUCUCAGCCAUAGGACAAACGCAUAAAUAUAGAAAAUUAAGUGAUCUCAAGAACACAAUAUUAGCACAAACAUAUACAUAUAAACAUAAAUAAUUGCAUACUAUGCGUAUGUACAAGAAGGAACUAGAAUACCCGGUAGGCAAAUUAUCGACAUAG
This 206-nucleotide unclassified non-coding RNA is filed under the name Hevea brasiliensis (rubber tree). The record is from RNAcentral. Lineage: Eukaryota; Viridiplantae; Streptophyta; Magnoliopsida; Malpighiales; Euphorbiaceae.